UAUAAAGAUCAGCAAAUGAAAACGCAAAGUUUAUCACCUAAGAAUAUUACAAAAUAAAAAAAUAAAACAAUUAUGUUAAAUGCAAAAUUUAAGUAGCUUUCUGAAAAGUGUCUUCCUGUGUACCGUGAAAAGAAUCUUUUUUUUUCCAACUUCCGUAAUCAUUCACAUGAUACUGCAAAAAAUACGAGGCUCAUCUCCCUCAUCAGAGCCUUUCAAGUUAUUACAAGCCUUUUGUCCUCAUCCAAUCUUCUUGGAAACUAUCUUUCAAUUUUGGAAUCCACCCCGCUAAUGAUUCAACCAUUUUACUACCGCCCCUCCUGCUCUCCGUCCCCUCCCUUCUCUAAACGCACGAUGGUGUUGCCUCAUCAGGAGUGGCGCUUGUCUCGCCUCGGCGCUGAGUCGACGCGGGUCACGCCAGUCCACGGCCAGCGGGAUUAAGAACCAUGGGAGGAAUUACGGUUGAAAUGUCAGCAUAAUGUCAUGAGGCAUGUUAAAAGGUCAAAUGUUCAAACGAUGCUCAGUGGUGAACAGUUAACAAAUCAGGUAGCAAGCACUUGGCUUGCUGGCUCUUGGAUCGAGCAAUAAGAUGAAUGAGGUGCAUGGACACAUCACCAAACAAAAAAGACCCUUCCACUUUUCUGUUGGCAUGGCACCUUCCCAAAAUAAGGCACACAUGAACUGCAAUUUAAGAAGCAUCACCUGAUGCCUUGCAUGUUUCUCAGUUCUAUUUGCUUGCUGCCACCUGUGCACCUCUACUAAUGCGAGCAUCAUCAAAAGCAGCUGACUCGCCAUUGUUUCAGUGCAUGUCAUGCUCUGUUUGUUGUGGGUGGAGAAAAAAAAUCAGCUAGACUAAUGCAUCUGGUCCGCAACAGUUUGAGUAGAGGAUUGUCAGGACACACCACGUUAUGCUCUGUGUAGUCUUUGUUUGUUGCACCAAGAGCUCAGACGCUUUGAGUGCUUUGAGACAAAGAUUCAAUUCAUUUCAAGAUCGCCCCAAACAAAACUAUAUUUUUCUGAAAAAAAAGAUAACGUUCUAAUAUUAAAAGAAGUUGAAUACUAUGAAGUGGUAAAGCCACAAACUAAUUUGCUUGUGUUUGUUGAAAAAUACAUUUGAAAAUGAACUUGGGGGGGGUCGUGGCUCUGCACAUUUAAUCACAAUUGUGAUAUGAGGGAGAAAAUAAAUCACAAUUAUUUUCCAGAAUUGUUCAUAACUACAGUAUUGUCUUUUGGUAUAUUAUCUGUCUACAUGUGUUGCUCUACCGUUUGUGUUCAAAUAUCUGUUGCUUAAACUAAUUCAUGACGUCAAUUGUCUUCUGCUAAAUUCCUCGAAGCCUUUUUCUGAUUAAUUCUUCACUAUUUCCCAAACUGCUGUGUUGAGUGCUGCUAUUCCAAGUAAGCAAAAACAAACAAAAAAAAUCAUCUGAUGUUGAAAAACCCAUUAGCUGGAGGACUCUUACGCACCACUGUAGACGUGAAUGUACGUCAUAGGUGAGACAACAAGCCCCACAAGGUCAGAAUCAAGAAGCACCCCACCCCCAAUCCUCCGCACUCCUCCAUUUGCUCUUCUUGUGAGUUGUUGCUUGAGGUGCAUAUGUCAGGAGGGUGGGCAAGCUUUUCUCACUUGGCUGCAGUGAUUCAAUGAUUAGAGUAGAAACAAGCAUAUCAAGCAUGGCUGACAUGCUCCCACCCCCAACACCCCCAAAGAUACCCACCACCAUGUCCUCCAGCAUGCUGCUGUCCCCCCUUGUGCACGAGGUGGCUUCCACAAGCCGCUGCCCUGGGAAUCCUCAUUAUCUUUCACCUCUGAGACACAGCGCACACUAAAUGAGGACAUCAAAUGACGCGGGCUCAUUAAGGGGCCGCGGAUCCGCUCGUUAGCAUCGGCACCUUCGUCCGUUCCAGCCUGUAUCGGCAUUGGCUCCCAGCGCGGCGUUGUGUCCUCUCAAAUCCUUAGCGCUGACUGGAAGACUUAGGAUUAAUGUCAACUCCCGCCAGCGGGUCAUCUGGGCUUUGGCGCCGAAGCUGCGGAAUUUGUUGACAGCUGCCCGCCAUCACCACCACUCGUGUCCAUUGCUCACGGCUUUUGUUUCCAACUGAUAGGCAAGACGCUGAGCCGAUAACGUGGGGGUGAAGUAAAUCACUGCUGGUCUCUUAUUGGUCAUCAUGUCACAAUUUGCAACAAGGCUAGAAAUGAGGACAAAUAAACACAUGAGCUAAUACGACUAAAUUGAAGGCUACCCAAAAUCAUCAGUGAAAUAUCUUGAUCACGUUUUUCUUAUAUGCCACAUGUUCAAUUUGCGCGUCGGUAGAUAUGAUCACACUUGCCCUCUUUACCCUUCUGUGGUGGCAUCACCAAAUACUCCCAAAAGUGUUUCUCAUUUAGGGCUUUGACAUAGAAGGUUCUAGUGUACAACAAACUAUGAUUAUCAUUAUGGAAGUCUUGUGAUGUAUUGUGACAUUUUGGAUUGUGCUGCCUCCACAAAAGCAGCGGAGGGCCUCACAAAAGGAGGCGGCAUUGUCAGCCGAAGGGCAAGAAUGAGAUGAAAUGCAAUUAUAUGCUGAAUGACAUUUUCUAACAACCUCGUCAUCUCUUGACAGUAUAGGUGUUAUUGUCUGGAGGCACUCCUAAAGGCGUCACACUAUUUAUGAACCUUUGUGGCCAUCUUCUGUCAAUCCAUAGCAGGAAUUUUCUUCAUCUAUGUGUGCAAGACUACGUAUUGUCAUUUACUAUAUUGACGUCACUGUUGGAAAAUUGGUUUUCUCUUUUCACAGCUUUUCUAAUCUCCAGCAAGAUGGAGUGUCUGUCACUGUCUGUUGCAAUUUUCGAAAUACUGUUUGUAUUGCUGUAUUCAUUUUACCUCCUCAACACUUGAUGCGCUUGAGUUAUCUUUUUAUGUAUGUACUGACAAUGUUCACCUCAGUGGCAGACCACACAUUUCGUACCCUUGGAGGGAUUGACCUGACAAAACUUGUUUUUCUAACACUACUAUCGCGUCACUAUUACACAAAUCAUCAAUACUAACCAAAAUGACAAUUUUGGGGUUUACAAAAAAAGGUUUGGAUUAUUCAGUGCAUUUUAGUGGACGUCAAUUGUAUGUAUAUUUUUGCACUUUUGCUCGAUCCCGAUCUGCUGAGAGUGGUGGGGUUCCACUGUUUUUGAGUUGUAAUAUCACCAUUCACCACUAGAUGGCACACAUGGCUUAGUUGCGCCAGCACCCAGUCGUAUACCACCCUAUAAUGUGAGUAGGCCUAAUCCUUUUUGUAGCUUUGGAAUAAUACGCAGGACCAACCUUGAUAAUAUUUAAAUGUUUUAUUUUUGAUUGCUUUUUGUAAAAAAAAAAAAAAGAAAUGCGCAAAAUGAGGUCUUUUAUUUAUUGUUGGUUUGUUGUUCGGGAGACUUGUGCCGUCCUUGAAUUGUAAUUUUUAUGCAAGACGGCACUGAAAAAAAAAAAAGACACUACGUGAUUAUUUUGUAUAUUGUGUCAAACCUUUUGUUGUUAAAGACUGGAUAUUUUUUCAUUUGUUUAAGAAUUUCAAUUAUGAAAAUUGAAAUAUAUUCAGAGCGCACAUUUUGUUCAUAUUGGAUUUUUUCGUCAUACUUCUGCUUAGGAAGUGUGGACCCCGGUAGCAAAGAAAUAUUAGCUAAUAAAUUGAGUUCAUAUUUUCAGAUUGUGUUAAGGUGUUGCUCUCCUUGCCCAUUCACCAUUGAUGCCCUUGGACCAGACUGUGUGCAUGAUGUCUGCAACGUGUUAGCAUGCGGCCCAGUGGAUUCCGACAUCCUCUUCUUCCGUGGUUUCAGCUAAAACAGCAACAACUAAUCAGGAUGUUCCGCAAUCAUCCAUUCCCAUCACUACCUGUGGUCCAUUUACACAUCUGCCAUGACAUUCAGCAUUUCAUCCUUGUACUGUAUCUUUUUUCUUUUUCCAUUUAAACAUCUACCAUGACAUUCAGCAUUUCACCCUUGAACUGCAUCUAUUUUUUUCCCCUCAAGGAUACUCACUGUCAUACUUUUCCGUACACCUGCACUGUCGGUAUGAAUGUGAAUUUGUGUGCUUGCGUUUACUCAGCUGUUCUGAUGGGCUGCUUGGUCAUGCAGAUUUGUUACAGAAAAAUCUUGAACCAGACAAAUUGGAUAGACAGAAAGAAAUAAGCAAAAAUGGUAUCAAAUUCAACUUUGGUGGAAUUGAGGCUUGGAUGUGCCCGGCUGCGACUGACAGGAAACCAGUCGAUAUAUCGAUGUUUAUUAUUAUUAUAAUUUGCAGCAGUGUAAAUUGUACUUAUAUAAAAAAAGUUGGGCAUCAUGUUUGUAAUUUUGUUGAGUUCUAUUGUGGUGCAGGUGUACCUAAUGUUGUGGCCAGUGAAGUGAUUGCCUUGCAGCUCUUUGCCACUGCAGAUCAAUAUUCCAAACAGUGGCUUCAAUUCUGGCUCCAGUACUGUAAACGAAAGUUAUUGUUCUCAUUUUGUGAAUGAGAACUUCUUCAAAUGAAGACUUUUGAACUAGUAGGCCAGACAGACUUGAAUCAUUAUAUUCUUUUUUUUAUUUAUUAAAAUCAUGUAAUUUCAAUUCAGGCAACUCAAAUAUAUGAGACUAGUCUUGCUCCUGUUCACCGUGAUUCAUUUCCCCCCUCUCAUGAGAUUAUCUUGGAUUUAUGUAUUUUAUGUCACCCAUUAAAUAAAUUAAUUAGGAACCAUUAAAUAAAUGCUGUGUUAUAGCAGGAGUUCAACUGAAACUAUACUUAAUAGCUAUCUUAUCCAUAAAAAGGUACUUUCCACCCCCGCUGUAACGUAAAGCCUUUUUUUACAUUUAGUUGGAUGGUUUUGAUCUGUAGAAGAUUGAUGGGAACAUCUUAUUCAAGUGUGUGUGUCCUCAUAUAAAACCUUGAAAUCAA
Long non-coding RNA from Syngnathus acus (greater pipefish), 4889 nucleotides. RefSeq lists it as uncharacterized. The transcript is spliced from 2 exons. NCBI's taxonomy places the organism in Eukaryota, Metazoa, Chordata, Actinopteri, Syngnathiformes, Syngnathidae. The record is from RefSeq and is a predicted model, not a curated record.